RNAcentral lists this ribosomal RNA (497 nucleotides) under uncultured bacterium. RNAcentral's name for it is "partial 16S ribosomal RNA". It matches the Rfam family "Bacterial small subunit ribosomal RNA", at positions 28 to 507 of the family's 1533-position model. The record is from RNAcentral.
GACGAACGCUGGCGGCGUGCCUAAUACAUGCAAGUAGAACGCUGAAGAGAGGAGCUUGCUCUUCUUGGAUGAGUUGCGAACGGGUGAGUAACGCGUAGGUAACCUGCCUUGAAGCGAGGGAUAACUAUUGGAAACGAUAGCUAAUACCGCAUAACAAUGGAUGACACAUGUCAUUUAUUUGAAAGGGGCAAUUGCUCCACUACAAGAUGGACCUGCGUUGUAUUAGCUAGUAGGUGAGGUAAUGGCUCACCUAGGCGACGAUACAUAGCCGACCUGAGAGGGUGGUCGGCCACACUGGGACUGAGACACGGCCCAGACUCCUACGGGAGGCAGCAGUAGGGAAUCUUCGGCAAUGGGGGCAACCCUGACCGAGCAACGCCGCGUGAGUGAAGAAGGUUUUCGGAUCGUAAAGCUCUGUUGUAAGUCAAGAACGGGUGUGAGAGUGGAAAGUUCACACUGUGACGGUAGCUUACCAGAAAGGGACGGCUAACUACGUG